AUCCAGCUGAGGAGUCUUAAAUAGGACGACACGCGCAUCAAACUGGAU
Non-coding RNA from Schistosoma curassoni, 48 nucleotides. The record is from Rfam. NCBI's taxonomy places the organism in Eukaryota, Metazoa, Platyhelminthes, Trematoda, Strigeidida, Schistosomatidae.